This 76-nucleotide transfer RNA is filed under the name Petrotogaceae bacterium. Its description in RNAcentral is "tRNA-Cys". It matches the Rfam family "tRNA". From Rfam's summary of the family: Transfer RNA (tRNA) molecules are approximately 80 nucleotides in length. Lineage: Bacteria; Thermotogati; Thermotogota; Thermotogae; Petrotogales; Petrotogaceae. The record is from RNAcentral.
GGCAACGUAGCCAAGUGGUUAAGGCGGCGGUCUGCAAAAUCGCUACUCAAGGGUUCAAAUCCCUUCGUUGCCUCCA